AGAGUUUGAUCCUGGCUCAGAUUGAACGCUGGCGGCAUGCCUUACACAUGCAAGUCGAACGGUAACGCGGGGCAACCUGGCGACGAGUGGCGAACGGGUGAGUAAUACAUCGGAACGUGCCCAGUAGUGGGGGAUAGCCCGGCGAAAGCCGGAUUAAUACCGCAUACGACCUACGGGUGAAAGCGGGGGACCGCAAGGCCUCGCGCUAUUGGAGCGGCCGAUGUCAGAUUAGGUAGUUGGUGGGGUAAAGGCCUACCAAGCCUGCGAUCUGUAGCUGGUCUGAGAGGACGACCAGCCACACUGGGACUGAGACACGGCCCAGACUCCUACGGGAGGCAGCAGUGGGGAAUUUUGGACAAUGGGCGCAAGCCUGAUCCAGCCAUGCCGCGUGCGGGAAGAAGGCCUUCGGGUUGUAAACCGCUUUUGUCAGGGAAGAAAUCCUUUGGGCUAAUACCCUGAAGGGAUGACGGUACCUGAAGAAUAAGCACCGGCUAACUACGUGCCAGCAGCCGCGGUAAUACGUAGGGUGCAAGCGUUAAUCGGAAUUACUGGGCGUAAAGCGUGCGCAGG
RNAcentral lists this ribosomal RNA (570 nucleotides) under uncultured freshwater bacterium. RNAcentral's name for it is "bacterial SSU rRNA". It matches the Rfam family "Bacterial small subunit ribosomal RNA", at positions 8 to 575 of the family's 1533-position model. The record is from RNAcentral.